GCCAAUCAGACCCUUCCAAUUUCAAAAGCUUAACAAUGCAACAUCUGAAUGAUUGAAGAAGCUGAGCCUCUGAAUCCACAAGAGAGAGAGUUUCUCGAGUACUUGAAUUUGACCUAUUUCCCACUCCACUCCCAACAGCACGACUUUUAUCUGCAAUGCCAAACUGUUCAUAUGGCUGUUUGGACCAGAUGGAUUCAUGGUCUGAACUCAUAGAAUAAGAGAAAGCAUCCCCAUAACCUUUUGAUACAUUAUCAAAAGCCAAAGAGCCUCGCAUUCCUGAUCCAGAAUUUGAAUAGAAGGAAGGCUCAUAACUUGUUCUCCCAACAGUUGCUCCAAAUCCAACAGUAUUGUCCCACUGAGUACCCUUUUCAGACAGAUACAUGUCCCUGUAAGGACCAGCAAGUCCUGAAAUGUCGGGCAAACUAUGAUAUUUCUUUGAAUUUGUUGUCAUCACUGUGUUAUCAACAGAUCCAGAAAACCAAACAUCAUUACUUGGUCUUUCUGAUUGCAGCGGGCUGUUUCCAGAUGCUGCAAAGUUCUGAUACCUUGAGGCUUGUGGAGAACUUAAUCCAUUUUGCAAUUUUUGCC
RNAcentral lists this unclassified non-coding RNA (588 nucleotides) under Hevea brasiliensis (rubber tree). The record is from RNAcentral. Lineage: Eukaryota; Viridiplantae; Streptophyta; Magnoliopsida; Malpighiales; Euphorbiaceae.